UCAAAGAAGUGGGUGCUAUCGGCAGAAGAAAUAUCUAACCCGGUGAGCAUAGCCACAUCGGCAAGAGUGGGGGAAACAAGGCCAUGGCCAAAGACAAAGGCAUUGAGCGUGUCUGACCAGAAGUAUGAUGCAGCUAUCAGCAGUGACUCGUUCCUAUGCAUAUCGGCAAUAGACAACCUAAUGCAUUGGGCUAGAUUUCUUUCACCCCAUUGGACUUCAUUUGAGUUCCUGACUCUCAGAAACCAAUCUGUCCACCCCACGGUAGGGCUGGGCCAGGAACGAAAAGUGUCCUUCCAUAGAUCCAAGGAAAAGUUCUCUGCCCUGAAAGGGAUCCUGUUGGUUUCUGCGUUUAUGAGAUCGAUUGGAUCUGGAUCCCCUAACGGGCCAAGGCAUUGGAGAUGUGGUCGAUCAGUGGGGAUGACAAUUUUGUUAGCCGAUUCCUAAUGGUUUUGGAGAUAUAAAAAAGAAAAAGGGAAAAAAAUAUUGAGUACGGCGGAUUGCAGGUGAACGAGGGUGCGAGAAAAGUACAAGAGAUGGUGCGAAGGACUGACCUUGGGGAUGAUGAAGUUGAUGGCCAUUUUGCCACAGAGGAGAAGAUUGAGAGUUUUGGAGUUGGUGAGGAAGGAGCCUCGUCGGAGAUCUUGGAGCUUUUUGGAACAGUGCCGCCGCCGGAAAGGUGAGGUUGGAGUUGUAGAAUGAUGUGAUGGAGAAGGAGUACCCGAGAAGGAACUACUUAUAAGACAAAACGGGCAGGGGUAAAUCUGACUUAUCUCUUUGCCGCAUCCGAGAAAUCAGAGGGUGCUCAGGUAGAUAUGGUAACUGUUUGCACGGUAAUCAAGGGAUUGUGCAGGUGAUUUGACAGGAAACGGUCAUUAUUCAGAGAUAUUUCACUGUGCGAGAUCUCCUGAUCGGUCCAUCGACGGUGCCCUGUAACGGUCAUAUUGCCGAUGGGCAAAUAAAAUGGAGAUAACCGUUUGGGG
Molecule: long non-coding RNA, 980 nt
Filed under: Sorghum bicolor (sorghum)
Lineage: Eukaryota; Viridiplantae; Streptophyta; Magnoliopsida; Poales; Poaceae
Description: long non-coding RNA (SBIC_LNC012828)
Source: RNAcentral